RNAcentral lists this ribosomal RNA (440 nucleotides) under uncultured bacterium. Its description in RNAcentral is "partial 16S ribosomal RNA". It matches the Rfam family "Bacterial small subunit ribosomal RNA", at positions 338 to 795 of the family's 1533-position model. The record is from RNAcentral.
CCUACGUGAGGCAGCAGUAGGGAAUUUUGCGCACUGGGCGAAAGCCUGCCGCCUCAACGCCUCUUGACCGAGACGCCCUUCGGGGUGUAAAGUUCUGUCAGUGGGGACGAAAAAUGACGGUACCCACAGAGGAAGCACCGGCUAACUCCGUGCCAGCAGCCGCGGUAAUACGGAGGGUGCAAGCGUUGUCCGGAAUCAUUGGGCGUAAAGGGUGCGUAGGUGGUUUAGUAAGUUGGCGGUGUAAUUCCGGGGCUCAACCUCGGCGCUACCGCCAAAACUAUUAGACUAGAGUGCAGGAGGGGUAAGUGGAAUUCCUAGUGUAGCGGUGAAAUGCGUAGAUAUUAGGAGGAACACCAGUGGCGAAGGCGGCUUACUGGACUGUAACUGACGUUGAGGCUCGAAAGCGUGGGGAGCAAACAGGAUUAGAUACCCGGGUAGUC